Molecule: ribosomal RNA, 430 nt
Filed under: uncultured bacterium
Lineage: Bacteria
Description: bacterial SSU rRNA
Rfam family: Bacterial small subunit ribosomal RNA
Source: RNAcentral
UGGGGAAUUGUUCGCAAUGGGCGCAAGCCUGACGACGCAACGCCGCGUGGAGGAUGAAGAUCUUCGGGUCGUAAACUCCUUUCGAUCGAGACGAAUUCCUCUGGGGUAAAUAACCUCGGAGGUUGACGGUACCGAGAGAAGAAGCCCCGGCUAACUCCGUGCCAGCAGCCGCGGUAAUACGGGGGGGGGCAAGCGUUGUUCGGAAUUACUGGGCGUAAAGGGCUCGUAGGUGGCCAACUAAGUCGGACGUGAAAUCCCUCGGCUUAACCGGGGAACUGCGUCCGAUACUGGUCGGCUUGAGUUUGGGAGAGGGAUGCGGAAUUCCAGGUGUAGCGGUGAAAUGCGUAGAUAUCUGGAGGAACACCGGUGGCGAAGGCGGCAUCCUGGACCAAUACUGACGCUGAGGAGCGAAAGCCAGGGGAGCAAACGG